GCCCAGGUGGUGGAAUUGGUAUACACACUAGGUUGAGGGCCUAGGCACUUCGGUGCGUGCGGGUUCAAGUCCCGCCCUGGGCA
RNAcentral lists this transfer RNA (83 nucleotides) under Candidatus Colwellbacteria bacterium RIFCSPHIGHO2_02_FULL_45_17. Its description in RNAcentral is "tRNA-Leu". It matches the Rfam family "tRNA". Rfam says of the family: Transfer RNA (tRNA) molecules are approximately 80 nucleotides in length. Their secondary structure includes four short double-helical elements and three loops (D, anti-codon, and T loops). RNAcentral also lists the same sequence under 2 other names. The record is from RNAcentral. Lineage: Bacteria; Candidatus Colwelliibacteriota.